This 460-nucleotide ribosomal RNA is filed under the name uncultured bacterium. RNAcentral describes it as "partial 16S ribosomal RNA". It matches the Rfam family "Bacterial small subunit ribosomal RNA", at positions 338 to 795 of the family's 1533-position model. The record is from RNAcentral.
CCUACGGGCGGCAGCAGUGAGGAAUAUUGGUCAAUGGCCGGAAGGCUGAACCAGCCAUGCCGCGUGCAGGUCAGUGCCCUAUGGGCGUUAAACUUCUUUUGUGCGGGAGCAAUAAUGGUCACGUGUGGCCAGACGAGAGUACCGUACGAAUAAGCAUCGGCUAACUCCGUGCCAGCAGCCGCGGUAAUCCGGGGGAUGCAAGCGUUAUCCGGAUUUAUUGGGUUUAAAGGGUGCGUAGGCUGGGAGGUAAGUCAGCGGUGAAAUGCCCCCGCUCAACGGGGUGAAGUGCCAUUGAUACUGCCUUGCUGGAAUGCGGAUGCCGUGGGAGGAAUGUGUGGUGUAGCGGUGAAAGGCAUAGAUAUCACACAGAACACCGAUUGCGAAGGCAUCUCACGAAUCCGCGAUUGACGCUGAUGCACGAAAGCGUGGGUAUCAAACAGGAUUAGAUACCCGAGUAGUC